Molecule: ribosomal RNA, 497 nt
Filed under: uncultured bacterium
Lineage: Bacteria
Description: partial 16S ribosomal RNA
Rfam family: Bacterial small subunit ribosomal RNA
Source: RNAcentral
GAUGAACGCUGGCGGCGUGCCUAAUACAUGCAAGUCGAGCGAACAGAUGAGGAGCUUGCUCCUCUGACGUUAGCGGCGGACGGGUGAGUAACACGUGGAUAACCUACCUAUAAGACUGGGAUAACUUCGGGAAACCGGAGCUAAUACCGGAUAAUAUAUUGAACCGCAUGGUUCAAUAGUGAAAGACGGUUUUGCUUUCACUUAUAGAUGGAUCCGCGCCGCAUUAGCUAGUUGGUAAGGUAACGGCUUACCAAGGCAACGAUGCGUAGCCGACCUGAGAGGGUGAUCGGCCACACUGGAACUGAGCCACGGUCCAGACUACUACGGGAGGCAGCAGUAGGGAAUCUUCCGCAAUGGGCGAAAGCCUGACGGAGCAACGCCGCGUGAGUGAUGAAGGUCUUCGGAUCGUAAAACUCUGUUAUUAGGGAAGAACAAAUGUGUAAGUAACUAUGCACGUCUUGACGGUACCUAAUCAGAAAGCCACGGCUAACUACGUG